CCUACGGGGGGCUGCAGUGGGGAAUAUUGGGCAAUGGGCGCAAGCCUGACCCAGCAACGCCGCGUGAAGGAAGAAGGCUUUCGGGUUGUAAACUUCUUUUGGCAGGGACGAAACAAAUGACGGUACCUGCAGAAUAAGCUCCGGCUAACUACGUGCCAGCAGCCGCGGUAAUACGUAGGGAGCAAGCGUUAUCCGGAUUUACUGGGUGUAAAGGGCGCGUAGGCGGGAAUGCAAGUCAGAUGUGAAAUCUGGGGGCUCAACCCCCAAACUGCAUUUGAAACUGUAUUUCUUGAGUGAUGGAGAGGCAAGUGGAAUUCCUAGUGUAGCGGUGAAAUGCGUAGAUAUUAGGAGGAACACCAGUGGCGAAGGCGACUUGCUGGACAUUAACUGACGCUGAGGCGCGAAAGCGUGGGGAGCAAACAGGCUUAGAUACCCUUGUAGUC
This 443-nucleotide ribosomal RNA is filed under the name uncultured Oscillospiraceae bacterium. RNAcentral's name for it is "bacterial SSU rRNA". It matches the Rfam family "Bacterial small subunit ribosomal RNA", at positions 338 to 795 of the family's 1533-position model. The record is from RNAcentral. Lineage: Bacteria; Bacillati; Bacillota; Clostridia; Eubacteriales; Oscillospiraceae.